This 308-nucleotide long non-coding RNA is filed under the name Dasypus novemcinctus (nine-banded armadillo). RNAcentral's name for it is "lncRNA (ENSDNOG00000050173.1)". Lineage: Eukaryota; Metazoa; Chordata; Mammalia; Cingulata; Dasypodidae. The record is from RNAcentral.
GUCCUGAGGGCAUGAGCCUCGCCCAAGCCCUGUGUCUUUUUCCCUUCACAGGAUUUUACAUUACCAAGCCAGAAGUGGUCUUCAAGUUGGAGCAAGGAGAGAAGCCGUGGGUAUUAGAAGAAUCCUCAGCUACCAGAGCCACCCAGACUCGGACAGAUGGCACCCAGACGUGGGGCCGGAUGCAGAGGAUUCAUCAAGACAUGGCAGCGUAGGAUCUUCCACCUCUGGAUCAGGAAUGAGGAAAGCUGAAAAGCCUUUUUUAAGGUAAGGAGUGUCAAAAUUAAUUAACCUGGGUAGAUUGCUGCUUC